RNAcentral lists this ribosomal RNA (406 nucleotides) under uncultured bacterium. Its description in RNAcentral is "partial 16S ribosomal RNA". It matches the Rfam family "Bacterial small subunit ribosomal RNA", at positions 30 to 526 of the family's 1533-position model. The record is from RNAcentral.
AUUGAACGCUGGCGGCAGGCCUAACACAUGCAAGUCGAACGAGUGGCGGACGGGUUAGUAAUGUCUGUGCAACUGCCCGAUGGAGGGGGAUAACUACUGGAAACGGUAGCUAAUACCGCAUACCAUCGGAUGUGCCCAGAUGGGUUUAGCUAGUAGGGGGGGUAACGGCUCACCUAGGCGACGAUCCCUAGCUGGUCUGAGAGGAUGACCAGCCACACGGGAACUGAGACACGGUCCAGACUCCUACGGGAGGCAGCAGGGGGGAAGAUUGGACAAUGGGCGAAAGCCUGAUGCAGCCAUGCCGCGUGUAUGAAGAAGGCCUUCGGGUUGUAAAGUACUUUCAGCGAGGAGGCGUUACUCGCAGAAGAAGCACCGGCUAACUCCGUGCCAGCAGCCGCGGUAAUUC